RNAcentral lists this ribosomal RNA (465 nucleotides) under uncultured bacterium. RNAcentral's name for it is "partial 16S ribosomal RNA". It matches the Rfam family "Bacterial small subunit ribosomal RNA", at positions 28 to 507 of the family's 1533-position model. The record is from RNAcentral.
GACGAACGCUGGCGGCGUGCUUAACACAUGCAAGUCGAACGGAAAGGCCCUGCUUGCCGGGUACUCGAGUGGCGAACGGGUGAGUAACACGUGGGUGAUCUGCCCUGCACUUCGGGAUAAGCCUGGGAAACUGGGUCUAAUACCGGAUAGGAGCCAUUUUUAGUGUGAUGGUUGGAAAGUUUUUUCGGUGUAGGAUGAGCUCGCGGCCUAUCAGCUUGUUGGUGGGGUAAUGGCCUAACAAGGCGGCGACGGGUAGCCGGCCUGAGAGGGUGGACGGCCACAUUGGGACUGAGAUACGGCCCAGACUCCUACGGGAGGCAGCAGUGGGGAAUAUUGCACAAGGGGCGCAAGCCUGAUGCAGCGACGCCGCGUGGGGGAUGACGGCCUUCGGGUUGUAAACUCCUUUCGCUAGGGACGAAGCUUUUUGUGACGGUACCUAGAGAAGAAGCACCGGCUAACUACGUG